Molecule: ribosomal RNA, 465 nt
Filed under: Electrogena affinis
Lineage: Eukaryota; Metazoa; Arthropoda; Insecta; Ephemeroptera; Heptageniidae
Description: partial 16S ribosomal RNA
Rfam family: Bacterial large subunit ribosomal RNA
Source: RNAcentral
UAAAGGGCCGCGGUAUUUUGACCGUGCAAAGGUAGCAUAAUCAUUAGUCUUCUAAUUAAAGGCUGGAAUGAAUGGUUGGACGAGGUAUUAGCUGUCUCACUAAAAUUAUUUAGAAUUUAGCUUUUUGGUCAAAAGGCUAAAAUGAUGUUGGAGGACGAGAAGACCCUAUAGAUCUUUACGUUUUAUUAAUUUAAUUUGUUUAGUAAAGGUUUAAUUUUAUUAGGAAAACGUUUCGUUGGGGUGACGAGAAGACAAAUGUAACUCUUUUUAUAAUUUAACACUGAUGAGUGAUUAAUUGAUCCAUUUAUUAUGAUUAUAAGACUAAGUUACCUUAGGGAUAACAGCGUAAUCUUUUUUGAGAGUUCUAAUCGACAAGAAGGGUUGCGACCUCGAUGUUGGACUAAGGGUUAUUUUUGGGUGCAGCUGCUCAAAGUUUAGGUCUGUUCGACCUUUGAAUCCUUACAU